This 207-nucleotide ribosomal RNA is filed under the name uncultured bacterium. RNAcentral describes it as "partial 16S ribosomal RNA". It matches the Rfam family "Bacterial small subunit ribosomal RNA", at positions 568 to 774 of the family's 1533-position model. The record is from RNAcentral.
GGCGCAGGCGGAGAUGUAAGCCAGACGUGAAAGCCCGGGGCUCAACCCCGGAAUUGCAUUUGGAACUACAUUUCUUGAGGAUAGGCGGAGAAAACGGAAUUCUGCAUGUAGCGGUGAAAUGCGUAGAUAUGCAGAAGAACACCGGUGGCGAAGGCGGUUUUCCAGCUUAUUCCUGACGCUGAGGCCCGAAAGCUAGGGGAGCGAACA